ACAUUUUUAAAAUAUUGGUGACAUUUAUUUAUGUGUGGAUAAAAAUAUUUAGUCAUAUUUAUCUUUUAUUUUAUAUUUUUAAAACACCCUAAAUCUCAAUUUUGCUUACGUGGAUGAAUAACUUAUAUAAUCUCUAGUUAUUAAUAUUCUAAAUAUUUCAUUUUCCCACAUCCUUUUUUUUCGAGAACCAUUUUCCGACAUCCUUAACGUGAAAUAUUUCAUUUACCCGCCCUACUUUGCGCCAAAAACUCCUUAAAAAAAAUGGAGGAGCGGUUUCGACGUAGAAGAUGAGAGCAGCCACUUAAGGCUUUGGGAAAAUGUUUGGAGGCGUAUUCCAGUUAUUGCGCGGCGCUAGAGGCAGUGGCGGCAGCGGUGAAGCAGUUGUUGGCAGAGAAGAUGGAAUGGACAGUGAGAAAGCUAACACUAUAAGGUCAAAACAUUGAGUCACGGAGCAGCGUACGAGGAGUAAGAUCAAUGAGAGAUUUCUCAAGGCUGCUCAAUUUGACACAAAGGUAAGGUAUCCAAUAAAAUUUGUGAAAAUACUGUGAAUUUUUCUUUCUAAGACUUUGAGUAUGUUUGUGUAUGCUUAAAUGUAUGUGUAUCUAAAAUACCAGCUGCUAAGUAUGCUUUGAUUUUUCUAAAUUUAGCUACACUGAAUAAGAGGGUGCUUCUAAUUUCUUCUGACAUUUCAAAACAUGUCAUUUUCACUUCAGAACAUACUCAUAUACAGUAUGGAAAAGUAUACGUUUCAAGGUUUGGUAAGUAAUUUUUCAAUUUCUUAUAUAAGCUUUUCAACAUUAUUUUAUUCUUUUCCUUCCAUUAUUGUCUACCUACUUUAUUAUUUCUUUCAGAUGCUAUAUAUUAAUUACGAGCCUAAGAGCAUUCACAUCGAUCGACUCAUCUGAGAGGGCUCGAGUCGAUUUCUGAAUGAGUCGAUUGAUGUAACCACCCGUCGACUCGAGCUCGACUCUUCUCGAUGAGCUCGGUCCAUCCGUCAAUUAUGAAGAGUGUGCACGCGCUGAGUUACAAAAGAAAAUUUGUUUAACUGUUUGAAUUCUACAUCUAUUUAGCCAAAAAAAAUUAAAAUUGUUUCUAACGGCCGAAAAAGGCUAGUGUUUUUUUUUUUUCACUUUUGUGUAAACACAUCUUCAUUCAACCAAUUCAUCCAUCUCCUUCACUCUUUCCCUUUCAUUUUUCCUUCAUUUUUUUUUCUAUCACAAAUAGCUUCGUGGUUCGAUGAUUCUUCAUCUUCGUCCGACAGGAAGACGAAGCAAAUCACGAACAUCAUCGUCCAAUCGCAAAAUACGAUUGCUCAAUAUCUCACUUCCCAACACAACCCCAACGACAUGUGAUUUCUUCUAAGGCUGUUUGGGAACGUUUCGGACCUUUAGGGGCGGAUUAGUUAUUUACGUGUUUAAUUUAAGAUUUUUUUAUUUUUUAAAUUUUAUGUAAUUUCAAAAUUAUGUAAUUUAAAUGAAUGCAAUUUUAAUUUCAUUUAAUUUUGUUAUUUAAA
Molecule: long non-coding RNA, 1513 nt
Organism: Salvia miltiorrhiza (redroot sage)
Lineage: Eukaryota; Viridiplantae; Streptophyta; Magnoliopsida; Lamiales; Lamiaceae
Exons: 3
Source: RefSeq, a predicted model, not a curated record